Molecule: ribosomal RNA, 458 nt
Filed under: uncultured bacterium
Lineage: Bacteria
Description: partial 16S ribosomal RNA
Rfam family: Bacterial small subunit ribosomal RNA
Source: RNAcentral
CCUACGGGGGGUAGCAGUGAGGAAUAUUGGUCAAUGGGCGAGAGCCUGAACCAGCCAAGUCGCGUGAGGGAGUACUGCCCUAUGGGUUGUAAACCUCUUUUGUCGGGGAGCAAAAGCCGGACGUUUCCGGCUGUGAGAGUACCCGAAGAAAAAGCAUCGGCUAACUCCGUGCCAGCAGCCGCGGUAAUACGGAGGAUGCGAGCGUUAUCCGGAUUUAUUGGGUUUAAAGGGUUCGCAGGCGGAUUUUUAAGUCAGCGGUAAAAUCGUGGGGCUCAACCCCAUCCAGCCGUUGAAACUGGGGAUCUAGAGUGUGCGAGAGGUAUGCGGAAUGCGUGGUGUAGCGGUGAAAUGCAUAGAUAUCACGCAGAACCCCGAUUGCGAAGGCAGCAUACCGGUGCACAACUGACGCUCAGGCACGAAAGCGUGGGUAUCGAACAGGAUUAGAUACCCCUGUAGUC